GGCUUUUCGAAAUUGUACAUGCAGUGUGCCUUCCUUUGUAUGAACUUCUGGAAUUCAUUGUAAACCAUCUGGAAGUUAAACGGCUCUCCUUCAUAAACAUCAUUUAAGUGUUUCAUAGCUAUAAUUAGGCAGAUUUCCAGGACAGACAAACCAUGGACAAUAUUUGCUUUUGAGUCCAUCCUGUACUGCUUGCUUGCCUCCUGAAGAUCUGAUGCGGUGAUAAGAGGGUGACG
RNAcentral lists this long non-coding RNA (233 nucleotides) under Gallus gallus (chicken). The record is from RNAcentral. Lineage: Eukaryota; Metazoa; Chordata; Aves; Galliformes; Phasianidae.